GGAUUGUGGCUCAGCGGUAGAGCAAUCCCCUAGCAUGGGUGGGACCCCUGUUCGAUUCUUAGCACCA
Molecule: transfer RNA, 67 nt
Filed under: Marmota monax (woodchuck)
Lineage: Eukaryota; Metazoa; Chordata; Mammalia; Rodentia; Sciuridae
Description: tRNA.Ala
Source: RNAcentral